CUUCUCUUCACUCACCCUCCGUGACUCCAUGCUCUAAUCUGCCAAGAAAGAAAGAACAUCAUAAAUUCACGUGAAACAACAACAAGUGAAACACGUGAAACAAUAACAACAAGUGAAACAACAACAACAAGUGAAACAACAACACGUUUUUAUAUUAUCACGUUACCAACAUACAACAGAGGAACAACACGUUUUUAUAUCAUCACGUUACCAACAUACAACAGAGGAACAACAACAAGAUAAAAUCAACGUGAACAAAGACUUAAACCCAAACUUAAACCCAUACUUAAACUAGUUCAACUAAGCUAGUUCAACACAAACUCUUAAACCCAUACUUAAACUAGUUCAACAACUCAGCUAGGAGCUUUUUCACAACAGCAUUUUCGACCUCAUAUAAGGGCUCUUGCUUUGCAAGUAAACGGUCAAGUAUCCGAUUUCUUGAUAGCCUGUCCUUGGAGACCAAGUCUUUUUGUUUUAUUUCCCACAUAGUCUGAACCUGUGACAGCCUUUCCUCCCUCUUGACAUUCUUGUUCUUCCCUUUUGCUGCCUUAACACCCGGGGGGUGCUCCUGCUCAACAGCGUGUGAAGUCUCAGACUGUGAACCCUCGUCUAACUUCCUCCUUUUACAGCUUCCUUCGUUUUUAGAUGUAGCAGUGGCACACCAUUUUUGAUCAUUCCGAAGCUCCUUCCAAGCGUGCUCAAGAAUAAAUUUUUUUCGGUGGUUGGUGAAGAAGAUUUCAUGAUCUCUGUUGAGAACAUCAUUCUCAUUUUGCCCACUUGUUUUCUCUCUGGUUGCUGCUUCGAAAGCCCCACAGAACUUGUUGACUUGAUCAUUGAUCUUGUGCCAACGCUGCUUGCAAUGAGUUGAUUCUCGGUGUUCAGUGGCUGCAACCUUGGGACUUGCCGCAAAGUAAGCGGCGAUCCUAUUCCAGAAUGCCCCAGACCGUUGCUCAUUUCCCACUACUGGAUCCUUGCUUGUGUUGAGCCAGGAUCUGAUGAGCACCGUAUCUUCUACAUGCGUCCACAUCCGGCGUUCCUUACGCUCAGCAGGAGUGUCUUCAGGGACAGUUUCUUCAACUAAACUAAAGACGCUUUGUUGACUCGUAAGGAGAUCAACAAGGUUACUACCAUGCCGGUAUGGAUUGGAAUCCAUCCCCAAGAAUGUCACAGAAAGAAAGGAAAAAAGAAGAGAGUACAACAGAUAUAAGGAAGACAAGAAGAAGCAAUGUUGAUGCCAGAAGAGAGAAAGCAAAGAACGCUAUUUUAAAGGGAAAAAACUAUUAAAUGGACUUGACAUCAACCAAACACAUUCAUCACACUUCAUCACGUUUUCUAUCUAACCAUCAACCUAGCCAUUACACCUAUUUAUUACUAACCCAACCAUUAACUACCUAACUCAACAUUAAAGCACUCAAUAAAUUCGAAAGGAGUAGACAUUUACCUGUAUUGCUCUGCUUUGCACUCCUCUAGUUCGCGGUUCCUUCUUCUUGUACCUUCGAGCCACGCACUCUGACACAAACACACAAACAAGACGUAAAAACUUCAUCAAUGACUUUGAGGAACACAAACAAGCAAAGUACUACUCAGAACUUAUUUAAAACGAUUUCAUCAGUAACUUUUAACAAAUCAAGUUAGAUCAAUCCAUCUAUAUUGAAUCAAUCUUACUAAUAAAUUCAAUUUGAUCCAUGAAAAUUUAAAAUAUUUAAGACUUUGAGGAACAACAGAAACUUGACCUUUGAUUCGAGGAGAAGAAAAGUGAGAGAGCUCUGUCACCACCGAGAGACAUCUUCAUCACCGUUGAGGACAGAGACGGUGCCGUCGAGGAGAGCUCCGUCGCUGACGAGGACAAAGACGGCCUUGUCGAGGAGAGUUCCGUCGCCACAUAGCUCGCCAAUUCGAACCGAACAAA
RNAcentral lists this long non-coding RNA (1909 nucleotides) under Brassica napus (rape). Its description in RNAcentral is "long non-coding RNA (BNAP_LNC022090)". The record is from RNAcentral. Lineage: Eukaryota; Viridiplantae; Streptophyta; Magnoliopsida; Brassicales; Brassicaceae.